UAGGGAAUCUUCCACAAUGGACGCAAGUCUGAUGGAGCAACGCCGCGUGAGUGAAGAAGGCUUUCGGGUCGUAAAACUCUGUUGUUGGAGAAGAAUGGUCGGCAGAGUAACUGUUGUCGGCGUGACGGUAUCCAACCAGAAAGCCACGGCUAACUACGUGCCAGCAGCCGCGGUAAUACGUAGGUGGCAAGCGUUAUCCGGAUUUAUUGGGCGUAAAGCGAGCGCAGGCGGUUUUUUAAGUCUGAUGUGAAAGCCCUCGGCUUAACCGAGGAAGCGCAUCGGAACUGGGAAACUUGAGUGCAGAAGAGGACAGUGGAACU
This 320-nucleotide ribosomal RNA is filed under the name uncultured bacterium. Its description in RNAcentral is "partial 16S ribosomal RNA". It matches the Rfam family "Bacterial small subunit ribosomal RNA", at positions 355 to 668 of the family's 1533-position model. The record is from RNAcentral.